UAUGAGUAAUUCAUAUCAUUAUAUAUAUAUAUAUAUAUAUAUAUAUAUUAGUUGUUAAACAUAGGGCAUCAUUAAGCUGUUUUGCCCGGGGCAUUAAAAACCUUUGGACCGGCCUUGUUGACAUUGUAUGUGUGGAUAUGGUGUUGGAAAACCUUUCUUUCAUGCUAUGUUCUUGAUUAUGGCGUGUGGAGUUCUUGGAUGUCAUUAGCAAAAGGUAUGGCUCCAUGGUCAAGAUUUCUCACAGUUUACUCACACACACAUGCACUCACAUGUUUUAUUUUUUUUCCUAUUCUCUUAACAUUUCAUGGUUUUUUUUUUAUCUUUCUAAAUAAUAUUCCUUCACCCACACAAUUUAUCCUCUUUUGAGUCCUACUCACAUAGUCAAUGUGCAUUAACUCAGUUUCUUAAAAGAUCAAAAACUAUGCCUCAACAAAUUAUUCACAGGAGACUUAAUCAAUUGAAAUUUCUGGAUUUAGAAGCCAAUUCAUCGGUUUCCACGACAAUUUGUUCAAUUUGACACAAUUAUUUGGGAAACAUGUAAUCAAAUACAAUUUACGAUUAUCAAUUCAUGAUGCAAACUUGGUCCUUGGAAUUAUUUGCGCAGUUGCCAUCACAGCCAUGGACAAACUCAGAUCACUAAGAAGACAUCAAAAACUUGUGAUCCGAACCCGAAACCAUACCAUUACAAUCAAAUCCACAACCACACUGUGGUGAUUCCAGAAAAUUACUCACCUCAAAUCCGGCCGCUAGGAUUCCGACUGAGAAAUUGAUUUGAUCGCCGACAUGAGUCACCUCCACGAUGUUCAACCACACCACCAGUAUUUUGACGUUUAUCCCCUUAAGAUUUUUCAGCUUCCCUUUCUCUAUCACGCCGCUAAUCGUUGACUUGUACUUGAUAUCGUAGCCCUGAAUUUUGAAAGAACAGGUCUCUUUCAUGUAUGCCUUGAACUCUCCGGUCUCUUUGUUCAGAUCGUAGCCUGUGACGCCUUUCGGAAGAAGGCCAACCGGAAAAUCGUACUCCAAUAGCUCAUCGUAUGCUGUAGGCGUAUCGGAGGCAGCGGAGGAAAUUAAGUGGAGAAGCAGGAAGAACGAUGAUAGAAGAAGAAAGCGAGUUGGCGGAGGAGAUGAACUGGUAAUCCGCCAGAGAAGAUCUGACCUCAUCUUCGUCUCAUCAACUCCUUGCGUUUCUGUCUCGACUUCAUCCAUAUAGUUAGAGUUACUUCUGUCCUGUAUUCAUCUUAUUUCUUUUUUUUUUUUAGUUAAAUAACAUUGUACUCAAUUAUUAUUAUUUCAUUAAAUCAUUAGAUAUAUGAUUUUCUGUGACAAACAUUUUAUUUUCUUUUAUCUAAAUGCUUAUAGAUAACAAGGGCGUGUUUGGAUAGGAAAAAAAAGAUGUGUUUAUUGCUUAUUCCACAAUAAGCUAAUUUGAGUGUUUGGAUAAAAUCCAGUUUAUUAAGCUAAAUAAGCUAAUUUUAAUAAGCAUCUCUCCUCAUUCUUAUUAUUUAUUCCCACCACAAAUAAACUAUAAACAAUAAGCUAAAAAGCUAAUCCAAACACCCCGUGUUUGUACCAAUAACACUUUUGACUUAUUUAUCCACAAAAUGUAGUUAAAUUAUUUUGUACAUGCAUUUUGUGUUUGAAAGUAUGUUAUUUAAUGUGAUGAAAUGACAACCAAUAAUCUAGGUUGUUUUUUCAAGUCAUUUAUCUUUUAAUACUAGUAUUCAACAUGUCAACAAGCUUUUUUUAGGUUCUUUACAUCAUUAGAGUAGAUUUUUAAGGAUACAAUUUUGUCAUAGUUGAUGUCACAAUAGACCCCAUGUCAUCUUGAGAUAGACAUACGUGAACAAUUUAUGUCAUAUUAAAUGCUACAUCGAACGACACAGAAUUAUAUAUCAGUUUAUUCAGUUGAAAUUCAUUCCAAUGGUAUAAUUAGAACCCCAAAAAAAAUUGUUUAUUGGUCUGUUGAGUAUUAACAAAACCUUGGUGACCCAAAGAGUAUAAAUUUACAAAGUAACAUAAAACAUAAAUGAUAAAAGUUUUCAAAAACUAUUUUAAUUAUGUCAUGGGUCAUGUCAGUUUCCCUGAAUUAAUUUUGUUGUUUAAUUAGAAUGUACUGGAUUGAGAGACACUAGAAGCAUAAUUUGUCAAUAAUCAUAUAUAAUUGUUAUAAAGUUGUCUCCUCAAACAGCUAGACAUUGAUUAACUUAUCUGGAAGCACAAGGCAUAUCCUUUGGAGCAUCUUUGUAAUCGUAAAAGCAUAUCUGGUGGGCAAUUUGUCGGAUUCUAAGUUGCACAUUUUUUGUUAACAAAGUAGUUAUAGGCAAAACAUGUAAUUAGCUUAACUUUAACAGACAAGUAACUCGUGAUAUUAGUUCAUUACUAAUGAUACGCAUAUAAGAAUAAAGAAUUUGACACAAAUCUGUUUUUUUUUUUUUUAACUUUACUUACAACCUAUUAAUGAGCGCAUUUUUAUACUGGGACUAGUCCAAGAAACAAAAUUAAUCACACAACCACAACCACAACCAACAAAUAUGAAUUGCUCCAAACCAUCUUUUGCACUAACACCACUCCUUUGAGAUCUCUUCAAGUGACACCUGAGUUCAUGAUACACAUCUAUAACAGUUAGAAGCCUGCAACUCAUCUAGCUAAAAAUCUAGAAGUUUUCUCCAUAGCAUACAGAACAAGAAUCAGGUAUCUAAGGACAUGUUCAAGCAACUAGUAAGAAAAGCUAAAGUUCCAAAAAAAAUGUAAACUAUAUGAAAUAAAGGCAAAGAGAAAGAUACCUGGGAAUUUUGAAGAAAGUAGAGUAGACACAGGGUGUUAGUUGACAUCCUUGAGCCUCUUAAUU
Molecule: long non-coding RNA, 2848 nt
Filed under: Lactuca sativa (garden lettuce)
Lineage: Eukaryota; Viridiplantae; Streptophyta; Magnoliopsida; Asterales; Asteraceae
Description: long non-coding RNA (LSAT_LNC009026)
Source: RNAcentral